GCCUGGGUGGCUCAGGCGGUUAAGUGCCUGACUUCAGCUCAGGUCACGAUCUCACGGUUCGUGGGUUCGAGCCCCGCGUCGGGCU
RNAcentral lists this transfer RNA (85 nucleotides) under Felis catus (domestic cat). It matches the Rfam family "tRNA". From Rfam's summary of the family: Transfer RNA (tRNA) molecules are approximately 80 nucleotides in length. Their secondary structure includes four short double-helical elements and three loops (D, anti-codon, and T loops). Further hydrogen bonds mediate the characteristic L-shaped molecular structure. tRNAs have two regions of fundamental functional importance: the anti-codon, which is responsible for specific mRNA codon recognition, and the 3' end, to which the tRNAs corresponding amino acid is attached (by aminoacyl-tRNA synthetases). tRNAs cope with the degeneracy of the genetic code in two manners: having more than one tRNA (with a specific anti-codon) for a particular amino acid; and 'wobble' base-pairing, i.e. permitting non-standard base-pairing at the 3rd anti-codon position. RNAcentral also lists the same sequence under 1 other name. The record is from Rfam by way of RNAcentral. Lineage: Eukaryota; Metazoa; Chordata; Mammalia; Carnivora; Felidae.